GGAGGUAUGCCGGAGCGGCCGAACGGGCGCGCCUGGAGAGCGCGUAGGUGGGGGAACCCGCCUCGAAGGUUCAAAUCCUUCUACCUCCGCCA
RNAcentral lists this transfer RNA (92 nucleotides) under Actinomycetota bacterium. RNAcentral describes it as "tRNA-Ser". It matches the Rfam family "tRNA". Rfam says of the family: Transfer RNA (tRNA) molecules are approximately 80 nucleotides in length. Their secondary structure includes four short double-helical elements and three loops (D, anti-codon, and T loops). Lineage: Bacteria; Bacillati; Actinomycetota. The record is from RNAcentral.